Non-coding RNA from Agelaius phoeniceus (red-winged blackbird), 3170 nucleotides. The record is from RefSeq and is a predicted model, not a curated record. Lineage: Eukaryota; Metazoa; Chordata; Aves; Passeriformes; Icteridae.
AAAAGACUAAACUCCAAGCAAAAAGAAGUUUUUACUCAUCGUUUUAGAGUAAUUAUAAAUCUGUAGCGAAACUAGUACGCCUGCUUGUAACCUGAGCCUGAUAAUCAUGACAAGGGUGUCCUUUGAAGGAUACUGUUUCCUAAUCGGAGCUGUGACCUUAUCACACUUACUGUAUCGGCGAGUGACUGUACCGCGCUUACCACACACAGCCGGUGUUACCACACCGAUACCGCGCUGAGCCAGCACAUUGAUUCCGUGCCGCGCCGAGGACACGCGUGACAAGCAAUUAUUAGUUACACCCUGGAACUCCGCGCUCGGCCUCGCCCGACCCGGCGGCGCAGGGCACGGACCCAUCCUACAGCCCAAACCCGCAGCCACAGCCCGAGCCGCAGCUGCGCUCCCCGAGCCCGGCUGCUCCCAUCCCGGGGCACCGGGACCUGCCGCCGCCGCUCCUCACCCUCCAGGCCAGGUCCAGGUGGAAGUCUCGGGCGCGCAGGAACCGCACCAGGAAGGCAUCGGAGAGGGGCUGCGGCCAGCGCUGGCCGGGCUCUGCCUCGGCCCGCCGCCGCAGCUCGGACACGGCGCCGCGCACCCGCGGAGAGUUGUCGGGCAGGUCAUUGAGGUGCCCUGCAGCCAGCGGAGCCUGCGACAUCCCCGCGGUACGUCCGAGCUCAGCCCCGCCGCCGGCCCCGGCCCAUUGAGGGGAGCGCGGCGGCGGCGGCGGGGCCCAGCCCGGCCCGGCUGCUCCCGCCCCCGCCCCCGCGGGGCUUAACCCCUGAGCGCCCUGCCGGGCCCCGGCUGAGGGAGCGGCAGGUGCGCCGCCUCCCCUGCCCUGCCCCUCCCGGGCUUGUCUUUUCCACUUUUACGGACUUGACCGGUUUUUAGCAUUUUACGCUUUAAGCCCAUCUCCUGUUUUUCUCUUCCAGCCCCAAAAGUGAGCCGGACCUGCUCCCUCUGGAGGGCGAGGGGCGGCCCCACGGGGCAGGGAGAGCCCCGCCGCAGGAGGGUCAUCCCGGACCCCUGGAACGUGCUGAGGGUCGUGGCUUCCCCUUUUAAUUUUUUUUUUUGCAAAAAUAAUCCAUCUUUAGAUACUAAAUCGUAAAAUGCUGCAACUUCAUUGCAGCUAGGAAAUGAAGUGUAAAGUGGGGAUCCCUGCUGGUGCAAAACUGCCUUGGAGCACCUCAUCCUUAACGUUAAUAUGCAGUAAUGAAAAUAUAUUCACUCUGCCAGGAGAAAGGGUGGUGAAAUUGAAUUCAACCUUAGUCUAACUUUGCUGCCCAGCAGUGAGUUUGAUUUUGAAAGGUAAAGAGUUCAUUGCUGUUAUUGUAUUUUGUAUUUUUAGUAGCACCUUUUCCUUGUAUUAGGUUUCCUUUGAGAUCUCUCUGGCCUACUUAUGCUAAAAGCCUUAUUUCAUCUAAUAUACAAUUAAGAAGGCAUGCUUAGGUCUAGUAAAAGGUUUACAAAGCUUUGUUCCAUAUUACUUUCCCCUUUUCUGGAUUUCUACAGUUAAUACUUACUUUUUGAUCAGCAUUUUGUUAAUAUCUAACCAUGUCUUGGACUCUUAUACACUACUGAAAUGUCUACAGGUAUCCCCCUCAGCUUUCCAAAUGUGAAAAAACAUCUGCCUAGCUAAAAGCAGUUAGGUAAAGAGUGGGAGGGUGGUUUUUUUUGCUGCCCCCUCUCCCCCCCCCAAAAAAAAAAGGAAAAAAAAAAGGCAGAAACUCAAGGGACUGAAUAGAGAAUACAAGCUUGCAGGGAGAAAGUAUUGGAGGAAAGGAUAAAAACUGGGAAAGGGGUGUGCAGUCAAGAGUAUUUAGAUGUGGAUUUCUGGGCAAGGAGGUGUGAGGAAGUGUGGGCUUACCCUGCAAGAAGAAGAAGAAAAAGCAAGCUGGAAAUACAGCAAGAAACAGAGAGAACAGAAUAUGGAGGAGACACUAACAACAAGUUUUAAAAAAACCACUCCUUUUGUUUCUGGGCAGAGCUUCCAUGGGAAAGAUUUGCAUGCAAAUGUGUAACCCAACCAUGGGUGGUCAGAGUCAAACAAAGCUAAAUCACAGAAAGUUCAUGCAGUGAUUUUAAACACUACUUCAUAAUUUUUGAGCACUUAUUUUGCCUUCGCAGAAUUCUCCCAACUUAGUGCUUCAUCUGUGAAAACAAAAAGAGCAAGAGAAUACAGAUACUUUUCAUUAGACUGAUCAGCUGAGCAACUCAUAGCUUCUAACUCGCUUUUCUACAAAAUUCAUAUUGUGAUUUUGGCUUCAUAUAUAAACAAAGUGAGUUAUACAAGCAGUUUCAAUGAUUUCCUUCAGGACUCAGUUACAAAAAUAUCUGUAAAUUUGAGGGUUUUGUUGAAAAUUCUUCAAAUGAGGCUGCAUUAUAAGACUAAUGAGAACUCCUCUCUCUGACAAUGAAGAUGUGAUAUCAUCAAGGCUUCCUUCAGAGGAGCCAGCAUGUUGUAUACUUGACCCUUCACAAGAGCAAUUAAGACCCGUUGCAAGAUGAAGCUUGGAAAUCCUGUUUACUUUGACCCUUGCCUGCCAAGUGAAACAACAUUUGAGUCCUUCAGUGAGAUAUAAACUUCAAUCCAGUGCAUGAAGGUAGCCAGAGGACAGACCUGUCCCCAGGCAAUGAAAUAAGUCUUCCCUGUGAUGUCCUUUCAGCUGUCUGGGCAAGAGAACCUGGCAUCGUGUCAGUGAAAUUCAAUAAAAGGCAUGAGCAUGGAAGGACUUGAAAGGUAGUUCUGUGCUGUGGUUAAUCUGAAAAGAUACCUGUGAUUCUAAAAAAAAGCAUGCAAAAAGAUCACCCCAGAAAAUGUUUCUAAAACACCAACAUCACCCAGUUAUGUAGAUUUACACUGAAAAGGUAAAUCAUCAGAGUAUGCUCCUUCUUCACCUUGAUUUGAAAAUGGUCUAUCCUGAGACUGGCACAGGGAGUAGCUCCCUUCCUACUCUGAGGACCCACAGAACCAGGGGCUUCUUUCUUGGCUCUCUGCUGAGAUGACAAACUACUGUUCUGGCCCUGACUAUGCAGCAGACUCACGUGGUCAUGAACAAGGAUUUUAUCAGCCCCCUCAGAAGAAAAUGAAACAGAAGCAGUAAAAUAAGAGCUAAGUUGUUAAAACUCACCACAAACUUAGUGAAUAAAUAAGCUAAAUAAAGAAUAAAAUCUAC